UGGCGGCAGGCUUAACACAUGCAAGUCGAGCGGAGAUGAGGUGCUUGCACCUUAUCUUAGCGGCGGACGGGUGAGUAAUGCUUAGGAAUCUGCCUAUUAGUGGGGGACAACAUUUCGAAAGGAAUGCUAAUACCGCAUACGCCCUACGGGGGAAAGCAGGGGAUCUUCGGACCUUGCGCUAAUAGAUGAGCCUAAGUCGGAUUAGCUAGUUGGUGGGGUAAAGGCCUACCAAGGCGACGAUCUGUAGCGGGUCUGAGAGGAUGAUCCGCCACACUGGGACUGAGACACGGCCCAGACUCCUACGGGAGGCAGCAGUGGGGAAUAUUGGACAAUGGGGGGAACCCUGAUCCAGCCAUGCCGCGUGUGUGAAGAAGGCCUUUUGGUUGUAAAGCACUUUAAGCGAGGAGGAGGAGCUCUAGACUAAUACUCUAGAUGCUUGGACGUUACUCGCAGAAUAAGCACCGGCUAACUCUGUGCCAGCAGCCGCGGUAAUACAGAGGGUGCAAGCGUUAAUCGGAUUUACUGGGCGUAAAGCGUGCGUAGGUGGUCUUUUAAGUCGGAUGUGAAAUCCCUGAGCUUAACUUAGGAAUUGCAUUCGAUACUGGGAGACUAGAGUAUGGGAGAGGAUGGUAGAAUUCCAGGUGUAGCGGUGAAAUGCGUAGAGAUCUGGAGGAAUACCGAUGGCGAAGGCAGCCAUCUGGCCUAAUACUGACACUGAGGUACGAAAGCAUGGGGAGCAAACAGGAUUAGAUACCCUGGUAGUCCAUGCCGUAAACGAUGUCUACUAGCCGUUGGGGCCUUUGAGGCUUUAGUGGCGCAGCUAACGCGAUAAGUAGACCGCCUGGGGAGUACGGUCGCAAGACUAAAACUCAAAUGAAUUGACGGGGGCCCGCACAAGCGGUGGAGCAUGUGGUUUAAUUCGAUGCAACGCGAAGAACCUUACCUGGUCUUGACAUAGUAAGAACUUUCC
RNAcentral lists this ribosomal RNA (970 nucleotides) under Acinetobacter bohemicus. RNAcentral describes it as "bacterial SSU rRNA". It matches the Rfam family "Bacterial small subunit ribosomal RNA", at positions 37 to 1001 of the family's 1533-position model. Lineage: Bacteria; Pseudomonadati; Pseudomonadota; Gammaproteobacteria; Moraxellales; Moraxellaceae. The record is from RNAcentral.